Molecule: long non-coding RNA, 893 nt
Organism: Mangifera indica (mango)
Lineage: Eukaryota; Viridiplantae; Streptophyta; Magnoliopsida; Sapindales; Anacardiaceae
Exons: 3
Source: RefSeq, a predicted model, not a curated record
AAUCUUGGUUAUAGGUGAAACUAAAGGGGGCUAUACGAAAUCUUGCCCACAUAUGGGGGUUAAGUGGAAAUUUUCCUUUUAUUUGCUAAUAAAAGUCAGUAGCCUUUUCUUCUUCAGCAAGAAGAAAAGAAACAGAGCACAGACGGGAGAAAACAGAGAAAGAAAGGGAAAGAAGAGAAGGGAAGAAAGAAAAGAAAAGAAAGAAGAAGAAAAGAAAGAAAAAGAAGGAAAGGGAAAGGAAGAGAAAAGGGAUUUAUAGGAAAAGGGAAUAGGGUAUUUCAUUUUUAUUCAAAAAAUUUUAGGGUUUGUUAUAUUUAUUCAAAUUAGGGAUUUCCAAAUUUUUGAUCAUAUUGUUUCCAAUUGGUUUAAAUAGGUGAAGAAAAAGGGAGAUUAGCAAGAGAUUUCAACUCUGACUUAGAGACUACCCAAAUCAGUACGACAGAAUUUAGUGCUCUGCUUGUGCUUUAUUUCAUGCCAAGUAUGACAGAAUCGAAUGCUCUGCCCGUGUGAGAUUUUAGUAUACCGGGUAUGACAGUUGUUUUUCUUUUGCUCUGCCUAGGUGGGGACACCCCCAGGACAUCCUCCAGAUCGUGCGGGAUAGUGUUUUGUUGGGUUGUGCCACGGUAUAACAUCUUUCGUGGAUGUUUUCAUUUGCACGCAUCUAUAUAAAUUUUUUGUUGUUUUUUUUAUAAACUUGUGAAAUGUUGAAAGGCCGGAGGCCUAAUUACAAUAUUCUCAUGACUUUUGAAAUGAGUAAAGAUGUAAAUUAUUUUGUCAUGUAUAUGAUAAGGCCGGAGGCCUGAUUACAGGUUUAUUUUAUGAUUUCUUGGCUUUAAUCAGGAUGUAUUAUGACAUAUACUUAUACAAAGGCCGGAGGCCUAUAGAUGAUAUUA